Molecule: long non-coding RNA, 881 nt
Organism: Apis dorsata (giant honeybee)
Lineage: Eukaryota; Metazoa; Arthropoda; Insecta; Hymenoptera; Apidae
Exons: 2
Source: RefSeq, a predicted model, not a curated record
UACAGCAUAUGUCGCAAAAACCAAAAUUGUAAUAUAAUACAUCGUAUUUAUGAUGUUAUAAUCAUAUAUAAACACAUAUUUGAGUGAUUUACGUUUCCAUUUAUGUUUUGAAAACAAAUUCUUAUUAGAAAUAAGAUUUCUUACGAACGCGUCAAAAGUAAAUAUACGCAACAAAAGUAGUUAGUCUGUUAUGAAAGACAGUCGGGUAAAGUGGUUUUCUAGAAGCAGUAAUUUCUGAAUAAGCAUGAAUUCAUUCAGUGUUGAUUAAUUUGAAAUAUUUAGUGAAAAAAAGUGAAAUACUUACGAUAGAUAGAUUUCAAUAUCUAGAUAUUUUAAAAAACAAAUUUAAUUGCAAAUGUUACAAAAAUUCAGUUGCUAGAUUCGUGGAUCAUUCAGCAAAAUCGAGACUCUAAACAUACAACAAAGAUUGUUAAGGAUUGGUUGCAAAAAAAUGCUCCAAAUUUUAAAAGACUUUUAGUUAAUUCUUAAUUAAUCUUAAUAGGAUACUAAUCAAAUUAUUGGCAAUCUUUAUUCAAAACAGAUUGUUAAAUUGUAUCUUGAACUUGAUAUAUCAUGUGAAAGGUUAAUAGAAUGAUCGAACAUUUCAUUCGAGUUCCAUAUUUCAAUGCAUACUCUUGAUAAUGUCCAUAUAAAUAUUAAUAUUAACAUUAAUUUUCAAAUAUUAAUAUUAAUGAAGUUUUGAUACGCUAUUGACUGAAUAAAAAAACUCGCUUCAAGAUGGAUAAAGACUACCAGCGAUCCAAGUUCAAGGUUCUGGUGUACAUAAUGCGUCAAACGAUCAAUCAUAUUCCAAUGAAUGACCGACAAGAAAUAUGAAAUGCGCAAAAACUUGGUGCUUAAUAAACUGAGUCCAGAACAAA